AACGAACGCUGGCGGCAUGCCUAACACAUGCAAGUCGAGCGAUCCCUUCGGGGAUAGUGGCGCACGGGUGCGUAACGCGUGGGAACCUGCCCUUAGGUUCGGAAUAACUCAGAGAAAUUUGAGCUAAUACCGGAUAAUGUCUUCGGACCAAAGAUUUAUCGCCUUUGGAUGGGCCCGCGUUGGAUUAGCUAGUUGGUGGGGUAAAGGCCUACCAAGGCGACGAUCCAUAGCUGGUCUGAGAGGAUGAUCAGCCACACUGGGACUGAGACACGGCCCAGACUCCUACGGGAGGCAGCAGUGGGGAAUAUUGGACAAUGGGCGAAAGCCUGAUCCAGCAAUGCCGCGUGAGUGAUGAAGGCCUUAGGGUUGUAAAGCUCUUUUACCCGGGAUGAUAAUGACAGUACCGGGAGAAUAAGCCCCGGCUAACUCCGUG
This 433-nucleotide ribosomal RNA is filed under the name uncultured bacterium. Its description in RNAcentral is "partial 16S ribosomal RNA". It matches the Rfam family "Bacterial small subunit ribosomal RNA", at positions 29 to 507 of the family's 1533-position model. The record is from RNAcentral.